AUUGAACGCUGGCGGCAGGCCUAACACAUGCAAGUCGAACGAGUGGCGGACGGGUGAGUAAUGUCUGGGAAACUGCCUGCUGGCUGGGGAUAAGUACUGGAAACGGUAGCUAAUACCGCAUACCAUCAGAUGUUCCCAGAUGGGUUUAGCUUGUUGGUGGGGUAACGGCUCACCAAGGCGACGAUCCCUAGCUGGCCUGAGAGGAUGACCAGCCACACUGGAACUGAGACACGGUCAAGACUCCUACGGGAGGCAGCAGGGGGGAAUAUUGCACAAGGGGCGCAAGCCUGAUGCAGCCAUGCCGCGUGUAUGAAGAGGGCCUGCGGGUUGUAAAGUACGUUCAGAGGGGAGGCGUUACCCGCAGAAGAAGCACCGGCUAACUCCGUGCCAGCAGCCGCGGUAAUAC
Molecule: ribosomal RNA, 406 nt
Filed under: uncultured bacterium
Lineage: Bacteria
Description: partial 16S ribosomal RNA
Rfam family: Bacterial small subunit ribosomal RNA
Source: RNAcentral